UUUCCGUAGGUGAACCUGCGGAAGGAUCAUUACAGAGUUCAUGCCCUCACGGGUAGAUCUCCCACCCUUGAAUAUUUAUACCUUAGUUGCUUUGGCAGGCCGUGGAAACACCAUGGGCUCCGGCUUAUGCGUGCCUGCCAGAGGAAACAAACUCUGUUUUUACUGAUGUCUGAGUACUAUAUAAUAGUUAAAACUUUCAACAACGGAUCUCUUGGUUCUG
Molecule: unclassified non-coding RNA, 220 nt
Filed under: plant metagenome
Description: partial contains small subunit ribosomal RNA, internal transcribed spacer 1, and 5.8S ribosomal RNA
Source: RNAcentral